GCAUAAUAAUUAGCUUUUUAAUUGUAAGCUAGAAUGAUUGGGUUAAUUAAAAGAAUGGUCUUAAAUUUUAUAUUGAAUUUUUUUCACGUUGAAAAGAGCGUGUUGAGGUAUUAUGACGAUAAGACCCUAUGAAGCUUAAUACAUAAAACAAACUAAAAGCACUAAAUGUAAUUUAUUUGGGGUAAAUAGUAAUUUAAUUAUUAAAAAAGUCUAAUAAUGUUGAGCUUUAAUUCUAAUAAAAAGAGAAAGCUACUCUAGGGAUAACAGCGUAAUACUUAUAAGAGCCCUUAUCAAAAUAAGUGUUUGUGACCUC
Molecule: ribosomal RNA, 313 nt
Filed under: Centropages bradyi
Lineage: Eukaryota; Metazoa; Arthropoda; Copepoda; Calanoida; Centropagidae
Description: partial 16S ribosomal RNA
Source: RNAcentral